GGGCCCUGAGAAGUCCCCCCGCCCCCUCCCCCACGGAGCACCGUGUAGAAAGCCGGUCUUCUGGGCUACAGCCCAGCACAGAAGAGGAGAUGCAGGCCACGCCGCCCAACACCUCACACUCCAGUUGUCCAUCUAAAUCAAGAAAAAGAGUAAAUGCAACCAAGAUGUAAGGGGUCUACAUUCAAGGAAAGGAGAAGGCAAGAGAGUAUGGUGGUGGGAUUUUCUGACUGCGUGGGUUUGCCCAGUGUGAAGUCUCUGUACUGUCGGUGCUGCCUUCUGGCUCAUGAGACUCUGUAGACAACACUAACGCUUAGGUAGCUUCCCAGUCACAGAUUUUGACAGAACGCCAGCCGGGGCCGACCAGGAUCAGCGUGGUGAGCCAGAGUGAUGACGGUAGAGUUCGUGGAGGGACGGGGAGACGGACGGUGGAGGACAGCCACAGUGACAACAGCCACAACUGGCUGGGCGCCCACCCCGUGCCGAGGACCCUGCCAGGUGCUGUGUUUAGAGUACGGCGUGAAUGCCGCAGAAAACUGAGCUCUGCUCCGACAGAGCAAAGGGGAUGAAGCGCCCGCCGGCCUGAGAGCAUGGUGACAUCCCCUCUGUCCUGGGACACGCCGUGGUUUUGAACAACCCCAGUUUCACAUUGCUGCUAUUUUGCUGUCCUUGUUGUUGUUAACGUUACCGUCCAAUCAUUCCCUCCUCACCGAGGAAAUUUGCAUCCCGUCCCCUCAGGUUAUUGUCUUAUUCACUUUCCAAGUCAAGAAUAUCACGUGGCUUCUUUGUCAGCAAGACUCAUUUAGCUCAGAUAAAUUCAUCUUGCUACCUAAUUUUUUCCCAGAGGAAAUAUGAAAAGUUUCUAUUUAUUUGUGAUAUUGAGAGCGCAAGUUAUAAGAGAGAUGUUUAAUCUCCUUGCAACAUAGAUAAUGACAAUUUUCCUCCCUUUUUUCUGCAUGAUAAUUCAAGUUAGUAAGGGUUUCAUUUUGCUCAAGACUGUUGUCUUUCUGUGCUUCUGUAUGAGACAGACCCCUUUGUAAUUGUCAAAUAGAUUUAUUCCAGUAUCCUUAAAGGUAAAUCACUGUAACCAGACUGAUAAUCAUUAUGCUGAUAUUCAAUUACAUGUUAUGUAUCUGUAAUAAUUAUCAGAUUAAUCUAUGCUUUCCAUGAAAAUAAUGUAAUAUUUACUCUGAUUAUCACUGGUUGUGUUGCCAUUUUUCUGUUUGAGGGAAGGACUGUCACCUGUUCUUGAUACCUUGCUUCUAUUUCUAAUCGUUGCCACCAGGUCAAGAAGUAAUGCUAGUGCUUAUGCCAGGGACAAGUGUAACCCCAGAGUCUAACGGAUGCCAGAGGAUGCUUGCUUUAUGCUUCUAUCCGAAUAUGUCUUUUUACUCAAGUAGCAAAUGAAUAAGUCACAUCCUUCCUCCACGUGGAUACGGUUUGCUGCAUGUGGCAUUCUGCAUGAGCCACCUUUUAUAUGACUGUUGGAUCCCUAGGACUUUGCUGUCAAGGAGCGCGUCUGCAGAAUCACCAAGUGCCUACGAACUCAACCUAACUCAAUAAAUAAUCAAUAUAAAUUCCUUCCAUUGUAAACUUUAUUUCAGGUAUCUUUUGCCAUAUUCUUUCCUUCUCUCUCUCUUUUUCUCCUCCAAACACGUUCACUUUUACAGAGCUUCUCUUUCUGUUUCAGGAAAAACAAAACCCAUUUACUUAAUUAAAGGUCCUGUUUGCCUCUUGCUAUGUGAUUUAGGAUGCAGAAGCCAUAAAAUUAAAACUCAGCUUCUGGACCCUCACAGAGAUUUCCCCCUUUUAAAUCACAAUCACAUCGGAAAGGAUUACACAGUUUUUCUUGGUGUUCUGAGACUCCCAGGACACUCACUCACCAGUUAUGUUCAAACUCUUAUACGGGCAGGGCAGGAAUCAACAUAGUGAAAACCUUAGCAGUUGCCUUUGUUUAUUUACUAGUUGACGGAGGGACUUUAAAGAUGUAUCAGAUAAUACUUUGCACGCAUUAUUCCACGUUCUCUCUCCAGACAGGCGUAAAUAGAGUCAGCUCUAGCAACAGAACUCCACUGAAACUUCAAGUACUUCAAUCAGUGGAGAUUUUCACAGAUUUCAAGUUUUCUUGGUAGUAGAUUAUAUGUUUGCAUGACUUUCCUGAGGUUUGCUUUAUUUCUGUUUUUAAAAACUUUCUUUGUUUUAUAGAAUAACUUGCUUAAUUGGUAUCUCUUUCCGAUAUGGGUCUCGCUGCUCGUGCAGAGGGAUAACUCCCGAGAAUGACGGCCCCGUGGGAGAGGAAAAGCAUAAACAGGGGCAUUCUGAGUGAUAGAGCGUUGCUAAAUCAACACAUCCAUCUCAGGAAUAAUUGUUGGGUUUGUCAGUGAGAAACCAUUAUGCAAUUUACGGAAAACCUUUAGGAAUAUACUUGUUCUCUCACUGCCAGUCAGCUCUUUUGGGUAUUAAAGCACUCUAUUCUUUCACAGGUAUGGUUUUUAUUUGUUUACUUGUUUAUUUAUUUGUGUUAGUGUGCAAGGAAAGGGGAGUCUAGAAGCUGGAACCAUGAAAUCCACACGGAAUUCUUUACAGAUUAGUAGUUGCGCAAUAUUUAUCUUUGCUGCUUACCUCGGAGGCUGGCCAAACCCUGAAACUUUAUCUAGGUUUUGCAACAUACAAUGAUCAUAUUUUCAUAGAUAUCAUCUUUGAAUUUGGCUUAGGUGUAGAGCAAAAUAUCACUUUAAAGGAUUAUUGUUCUUGCUGUUGAGUUUCAUAUUGUUUAGAGACAGGCAAGGUACCAUUUAAAAAAUAACCAGUAAGUUUUUGGGGACCCCCCCCUUACUCAAUAUGGCCGUAAGUCUUCUGUGGGAUUCAUGAGCUUUUAAGAUAAACACAAACCAUGUAACCAUCAGCUUGGACUCUGUUUAUUAAAGUGCAAGAAGUGAUUUUAAGAGCUGUGACUCUGGUUUUAAGAGGGAUAAAACAUUCUAGACGUUGUCAUGCAAAUUUGAGCGUGAACUUGUUUCUAGAAAUGGAUUUCUAGUCAUAACAUCUUUUUUUUUUUUCAGGGGCACUUGGAAUGUCUAUAUGGCAGAGUAAACCAUGUGAAAAAAAAAAAAAAAACAACAACACAUGGACCAUAAUCAGCAUAUGUUAUCCUCAGAAUUGUUAAGUUCUGAAGCCAGCAUAUUAACCAGAUGAUACAGAAAAUAUGUUCACAUUUGAUGUUUAAAGUCAUAUAGACAUGCGUUUUAUUCCAGUGUAUUUUGCUUUCCAUUUAAAAGUAUUUAAGCCUAAUUCUUACAAAUUUGAAGACCUAUAAAGGAUUCGGAACUUUGUAGAAGGACAAGACUUAUUCCUACAAGCCCUGUUUUGCAAACAUAAUCUUGUUCUUCUGUGCUUCAGUGCUCUCUUCACCGACUGAUAUGUAAGGUGUGAAAUACUUAAUAAUGUCAUCAAAGAGAUUCAUCCGUUUAUUUAUGUUUUAUAGUUAAGAGACUCAACCACAGGGAAAAAUGACUUGACUGUAGUAGUUAGCACUCUGUGUUUAGAAAUUAAUAAUUUAAAUUUUUAUCUGUUUACGUUUUUGACUUUUACAACUAAGGUCUUCUGCUUAGUUCUGAGAAGAAAUUAUUUUCCUUCCUUUGGAUUUUUUUGGCCAACUUUUGCAUCACAAUUUUGGCCAGUCCUCUCAUAACAGUAUUCCAGAAGUAAAUUGAAGAAAAAUGUGUAGAUAGUUCAUGUAAGCCUAUUUUCUUUACUUUACCCAACUAUAUUAAUUGAAAAAACUUCUUAAAGUCCAGUUUUAAAGUGUAUCUUUGUAUAUAAAGAUCUAUAAAUUAUGUAAGAAGUUCCUCAGAAAAACCGAAAAUUGGCUUUCUUUUCUUGUCUUGUCCAUGAUGCUGGUGAGUUAGAAAUUUAAUAUCCAUUUCCACUUUUUCAUUAAUUAGCAUAAAACUGCCUUGAAUAUUUUACUCUUCAUUCUAAGUUAAAUAAUCUUUCAAAAUCUCUCCAAAAGUAAAUCACUUAUAAAUGAAUCUAGGCAUCUCUUUUGCCCUUCACUUAACCUCCUAUAUCUCAGAUGCUUGGUAUUCUUUUGGGGAAAGGAAAUCAAAUUUGUAUGAGUCUUGGCCCUCUUUUUAAUGUAUUUAAUCCUCUUAUUAGCCUUUGUAACAGCAUCUUAACUUAGUGAUGACACCCUUAUUGAACCUGUGAUGGAACUUUUGGCUCUUAUAAGGAAGAGCCAUUUCUGGCAUUGACUCCAACCUUGUACCCAAGAAGCAUGGAAUAUUAAUGUAUUCUCAGUUCAGCGAGUAUGCUUGGCAGCCCACUGUGUUUUUAGUACAUCUAACUGAGUCAUAAGUAUCUCACAUUUUGAGGGGAGAGGAGCAGUCUUUGAAGGAGUAGGAAAGCCACUGGUUUCAAUAAGCCCUUGAGAAUUUGCUGCAGAUGUAGCACCUCUCUGAGCCUCAGAUUCACCAACUUGCCAAGAUACUGUACCUUUUUCUUUACUAUUUAUAUAUACUUAGCUAUAAACAGUUACCUGUGUACAUAUAUAAGUGCAUAUGUGUGUGUGUGUAUAUAUAUAUAUACAUAAAUACAUAUAUAUACACACACACACUCACACACACAUGCAUAUAUAUAUAGAAUUUCUAUGGGAAAGGGGCCCUCCCCUAAUUACCUCACUUUAUUUGUUCCCUAACACAGUACUGUGUUUUUGCAUGUGCAGAGGGGGGCCCAUCAAACCUUUUCCUGACUAUUCCUGACAUGCAUUGUGGGACAUCUUAGAGAUUUUUUUUUUCCUUCUCUAUCUUUUAUUGUCACCAUCUUACUGUAGAAACUUGUCAUCCCAGGCGAGGUUGGGUAACAGCUAAAUUCCUCUCAGGUCUCAGUCACUUCUGGAUGUUAUUUCCAGACUUUUCCAAAGUACCAUCUGAUACGAGAGUUCCCGGCCUCUGAAAGUGCAGUGUCUCCCAACUGACCAUUGUAUAAAUUCCAGGCUCUUUAGCCUACUCACAUAUAGCUGAAUGUAGGCUAAGAGAAGGUUACCAUACCAAGGAUAGUGUCUAAAAAUCAAGAUAAGCCUCCUGAUAGGCCAUAUUUAAUUCACCCAACAGACUUAUGGAGAAUAUGUUAUGACUGUUGCCUGUCUCGAGGAGGUACUGAGUACAUGUAGACAAGUGAGGCAUGGCGUGUCUUUAAGGAGCUUAGCGUCUGGUCGAGAAGAAAGACAUGUAAACAAGUAAUGCCAACAUAAGAGAAAUAGCCCAUGUGUGUGCGUGUGUCUGUGUGUCUGUGUGUGUCACUGUGUGUGGGAGGGGGGUUGCUCAGAGAAGAAAGUGGACAUGUACUCUACUAGAGAGAUUAGAAGUCCCUAGGGAGGAGGUGAUUAAAUUGAGUCUUGACAUUCAACGAAGUAUUUGCUAGGUGUGGUAGACGGACAAUUUCAAAGGACGUUUUAGAUAGAGGAAUUAGUAAGUUUAGUGUCAAGAGUCUUGAAACUAAAUGAGAGAUUUGAUGGACUUGAAAUCACAGGAUUGGAGAAAGAGAAGGAGGGAAAUGGCAAGCAGGACAGGCUUUGGUUCCCAGUAUAUGAGACAGGAGAGAGCUUCAGGACAAAGCCGUCUUCAGGUGGAAGACAGACCAGGAGAAUGGUGACUUUGGAGUCUGCUGAUUCAGUGUGGCUUGUUGUGGAAAUCCAGUCUGUGUGAGGAGCAAGCAAGCUCAGAACCUACUCUGCAGAAAAUGAGGCUGAAGAUCAGGUAGCAAGAUCUUAAUUAAGAAGAGACCUUGAAGAAACCAUGGCCAGCACCAAACACUGAGAAAGAGGAAAGAAUGAAGUUGAAUCAGCGCCCAGGUCAGUCACAGGCUUAUGGCAGAUUUCCACCUGUUUCCUAGGAGCAAGGUCGCCAUCCAUUUGCUAUGUUACAGAAGAAUGUGGAAUAUAAGAUCUAAGAGAGAAGAAAAGCUGUUCUGAGUGUUAAUCGUAUGUGGGUAAAUAAACCUUUUGAAUUAAGAAUUGAAGGCCUGGGUGCUUUUCAGUCUCAUGAUGUUUAACUUAUUUCUAUAAGUUUAAAUGAACAAAAAGCAAUCAGAUGAACAGCUCUUAAAAUGCACGAUGUGUGAAAAAUCAAAUCAGGAAUGCUUGGAGCAAAACAUUUAAGGCUUUAUUAUAUUGAAACCAUUUGAAAAAAUAUUCUGAAUGAUGGGCAAAUAGAAUAUGUGAUCAGGCUUAAUAAUUCAAAACUGACUUCUCUGUUUUCCAUGGAUGUAUUACUUUAUUAGUCUACAUGUAAUUUUCUUAAAAAUACUGUCUUCAAAACAAAAUAAUCAUUUUAAAAACAGUGUUGUCCUCCUCAUUGUAAAAAAUAUUUAGACUUUAAAUAUGUAUAAAAAUCUAGAAAAUUUGAAAAGUAGAGCAGUGAUCACACUUAAGUCCGCAUACGAGAGAGAGCUGCUGUUGGAGUCCCCGUUGUGGUGCAGGGGAACAGAAUCCAGCUAGUAUUCAUGAGGAUGCAGGUUCGAUCCCUGGCCUCGCUCAGUGGGCUGGGGAUCCCGCGUUGCCGUGAGCUAUUGUAUAAGUCAUAAAUGUGGCUGGAACCUUGUGUUGCUGCGGCUAUGGUGCACAACUGUAGCUCCGAUUCAAUCCCUAACCUGGAAACUUCCAUAUGCCAUGGGUGCAGCUCUAAAAAGCAAAAAAAAAGAAAAAAGAGAGAGAUACUGUUAAACUUCUGUUACAGAAAUCUCUACACCAUUUUAGGUGUGCAUGUGUAGUGUAGGCAGGCACACACACACACACACACAACUUUUUUUUAAUGGUCAAACUUGUGGCAUAUGGAGAUUCCCAGGCCAGGAACCAAAUACAAACUGCAGGUGCCACCUACACCACAGCUGUUGCAAUGCUGGAUCCUUAAUGCACUGUGCCAGCCCUGGGAUUGAACUCGUGCCACCGCAGAGACUACACUGGAUCUUUAACCUGCUGCGCCACAGCAGAAACUCCCAUACACACCUUUUUGUAUACUUAAUACUUCAAUCAAAAAGUCUUGUACCAUGUAUAUAUACUGUACAUGUUUUUACUUAAUAGAUUAACAUCGGGGUUUUGGGCUACUACUAUUUUAAUUGCUAAAUACUAUUUUAUGUCUAAGUAUUUCCUCUGGAUAAAUUCCUAUGAGUUAAGUUGCUAGUUUAUAUAAUAUAUUUAAGGGGUUCCCUCUGUGGCACGAUGGGAUUGGCAGUAUCUCUGGAGCACUGGGAUGCAGGUUUGAUCCCCAGCCCAGCACAGUGGGUUAAAAUAUUCAGCAUUGCCGUAGCUG
RNAcentral lists this long non-coding RNA (7304 nucleotides) under Sus scrofa (pig). Its description in RNAcentral is "lncRNA (ENSSSCG00060006356.1)". The record is from RNAcentral. Lineage: Eukaryota; Metazoa; Chordata; Mammalia; Artiodactyla; Suidae.